GACGAACGCUGGCGGCGUGCCUAAUACAUGCAAGUUGAGCGAUGAAGCUUGGUGCUUGCACCAAUUUGAAGAGCAGCGAACGGGUGAGUAACGCGUGGGGAAUCUGCCUUUGAGCGGGGGACAACAUUUGGAAACGAAUGCUAAUACCGCAUAACAACUUUAAACAUAAGUUUUAAGUUUGAAAGAUGCAAUUGCAUCACUCAAAGAUGAUCCCGCGUUGUAUUAGCUAGUUGGUGAGGUAAAGGCUCACCAAGGCGAUGAUACAUAGCCGACCUGAGAGGGUGAUCGGCCACAUUGGGACUGAGACACGGCCCAAACUCCUACGGGAGGCAGCAGUAGGGAAUCUUCGGCAAUGGACGAAAGUCUGACCGAGCAACGCCGCGGGAGUGAAGAAGGUUUUCGGAUCGUAAAACUCGGUUGGUAGAGAAGAACGUUGGUGAGAGUGGAAAGCUCAUCAAGUGACGGUAACUACCCAGAAAGGGACGGCUAACUACGUG
Molecule: ribosomal RNA, 497 nt
Filed under: uncultured bacterium
Lineage: Bacteria
Description: partial 16S ribosomal RNA
Rfam family: Bacterial small subunit ribosomal RNA
Source: RNAcentral